CUGGUAUUGGUGUUACAGUACCAACGCUUACAAAGCGUUGGUAAUGGUGUUACAGUAGCAACGGUUUAAGAAAAAACGCUGGUACAGGACCCUUCCAUUCCCUCCAAUUUUUUCUCCUUCCCUCCAAUUUUUCUCUUCCCUCCACUUUUUCCCUCCGCUCUAUCUCGAUUUGCUCCGUCUCAAUCUCUCACUGCUCGAUCUCCAUUACUUUAGCUCAUCGUAGGCUCUCUCUCUCUCAUCCCUCUCUCUCCACCACCAUUUCUCAGCUGAAGCACUUCUUCCACCUGCGUUUCAGAGUACUUCAAUUUCAGAUUCUCUCUCUUCCCCUCACGAAUCCUACUCAUCCUCUCUCUCUUGGUGUCUAUUAUAUCCAUUGACUUCAAAGCCUCGAUUGCGAUCGUUUCACAUUUCAGGUCGAGGUUGGAGGAUUUGGAUCUUUGAUUUCAACCGCUGAAUUCAAAAAAGGAAGGAUAAAUAAUAAGUUGACAAUGAAACGAAUGGUUAGUGAAGUGGAAAAAGUGAGUGAACAAAAAUACCGAAGCUUCAACUUCAAAAUCAUCCCAACCACCGCCGAAGAAGAGACGGGGUCCGACACGAUGCAAGAAUGUCAUAGACGCGAAAACCUUAUUGCCUUUAAGGGUUAAUAAGUUUGGACAGCCGAUCGGUCCUGGGAGUGGUAUAUAUACUAAUUAUCUGGGAACACUUGCCCGGAAGGGUGAAUUAGCUCCUUUGUGUUACAAAACUUGGUGGGAGAUGCCUAAACGGCUGAAGAGGAUAUGUGGAACAUUGUAAAGGGAAAAUAUGAUGUGGGAAUCAUGACAAAACAGAGGACAAUAUCCUCCAUCGGAAAAAAAUGGAGGGGGUACAAGUGUGAGUUGAAAAAUGAAUACUACUCAGUUAGGGAUACAGAUGAAGAAAGAUUGACAAACCCACCACCUAAUGUUGAAAAGGAGCAUUGGGAAUUUUUGGUUAGGCAUUGGGGUACGUCUAUGGCGAAGGAGGUUAGCAAAAAAAAUAAAGAACGUCGUGGGAAGCAGACAAUGAUGCAUACUAUAGGGACAAAAAGCUUUGCACGUGUUUCUGCCGAGAUUGAGGAAGACGAAGGUAUUUAGCUUUUCGUGCAGAUUUAUUCAUCCGCACACAUGUAAAUAAGGAUGGCAAAGCUACUGAUGCUGCUGCUUCGGAGAUAAUUGAAAACAUAAGAGAACUUCAAAAAAGUUACUCUGACUCGUCUAUUGGCAGCUCCAAUGAUUUGUUCUCCAUUGUGAGGGGAGAAGAGAGAACUGGUUGUGUGCAGAUGCUUGGCUUCGGGCCUACACCAAGCGAUGUUUAGGGGCCCUCUCCUAGUAAAGCUGAACUGAUUAAUAUGCUAAAAAAUCUCAAGAGUUGCAGGAGACGAUUUCAAAAAUGCAAGCCGUCUAUGACAACAAGUUGGAAAAUUUACGAGCCAACUACGACGACAAGUUGGAAAAUUUACAACAACAGGUGACUAUGCUAAUGCAGAUGCAACAACAAAAUUGUAGUGGACAAGUAUAUUUAUUAUUAAUUUUACUCUUUACUAAAUAUAUGUUUACUUAUGCCAAGAUUUCAUGUAUUUUGUUUUGUUAUUUUGAAGGAUUCUGAUUCUUUAAAUGCUCCUCCCAGAGUAUUCCCAAAUUCAUUUUCUAGUCGUGAUGCCAAUUCAGUUAAGGUUAUGAACUUUUAAUUUCACGUAUAUAUAUGUUAAAUUUUCAUUUAUUAUAAUGUGCGCUUAAUGAAUUUAUAAAAAAUAUAGGGUAAUUCAAAUCAAAUAGGCAAGAAGACUUGUUGAAGUUGAAGUUGAAGAUAGGGUCGUGGCUAUGCUUUUUGAAUUUCCUUCGCCUUGGAUGGGUUCUUUUUGAAAAACUUGUACUACAUUUGUUAAAAAUUCUUAAUUCUUUUUGUGUGACAUUUAGUACCUUUAUCUAGAUAAUUUGGAUGGUAUUUUCAUAUUCGCAGGUUAACUUGUGGUGGUAUUAGUAGUCAAUUUCGAUGGUAUUUUUCA
Molecule: long non-coding RNA, 2023 nt
Organism: Cornus florida
Lineage: Eukaryota; Viridiplantae; Streptophyta; Magnoliopsida; Cornales; Cornaceae
Exons: 9
Source: RefSeq, a predicted model, not a curated record